ACCUGGCUUGCUCAGUUGGUAGAGCACAUGACUCUUGAUUUCAGGAUCGUGAGUUCAAGCCCCACGUUGGGUG
Molecule: transfer RNA, 73 nt
Filed under: Ailuropoda melanoleuca (giant panda)
Lineage: Eukaryota; Metazoa; Chordata; Mammalia; Carnivora; Ursidae
Rfam family: tRNA
About the family: Transfer RNA (tRNA) molecules are approximately 80 nucleotides in length. Their secondary structure includes four short double-helical elements and three loops (D, anti-codon, and T loops). Further hydrogen bonds mediate the characteristic L-shaped molecular structure. tRNAs have two regions of fundamental functional importance: the anti-codon, which is responsible for specific mRNA codon recognition, and the 3' end, to which the tRNAs corresponding amino acid is attached (by aminoacyl-tRNA synthetases). tRNAs cope with the degeneracy of the genetic code in two manners: having more than one tRNA (with a specific anti-codon) for a particular amino acid; and 'wobble' base-pairing, i.e. permitting non-standard base-pairing at the 3rd anti-codon position.
Source: Rfam by way of RNAcentral